This is a long non-coding RNA of Pyrus x bretschneideri (Chinese white pear), 896 nucleotides long. RefSeq lists it as uncharacterized. The transcript is spliced from 3 exons. The record is from RefSeq and is a predicted model, not a curated record. Lineage: Eukaryota; Viridiplantae; Streptophyta; Magnoliopsida; Rosales; Rosaceae.
GACAAGAAAAACAGGGUUGAUCAUAGAAUUCUUGGUCAUCUUGGGGUUUUAUAAUUUUCUGGUGCACCUAUGAUUAAAUACAACCUAAUUUGAUUUUACCCACAAGUGCAGAUCUUACCCCGCAGUGCUCGAUCCAGAAAAUUGGUACUCAUAAUCAAUAAGAUUCGUACGGCUUAUUGGUAUCAAUUUUGGUUGCAACAAUGCUAUUCUUGCUGAAGACCCGCCAUAAAUUCAAAGCACGCAGAGAUCUUGAGUCAAAAACAGAGCAACUCUUGCACGGCGAAAUGACUCCCACCACCCAACAAAUGCAACUGCUACAAUUUCAAUUGCAGUUCUUGAAGAAAGGUAAAGCCUAUGUUCUAUACAAAGUCUUGAAUUUUUUUAUAUUGGGUUUCAGUUUUUUGUGCUCUUUUUUUUUUUUUUUUUCUCUCUGUUGAGAAUAUUAAUAUUGUUGAGUUAUUAAAUUCGACUAUUGCAUAUGUUAAAUUUUACUUCGAAUUGUAGUAAUUGUCAUACAAGUUUAUAUUUUUGUAUAGAAUUGCAGACAGUUUGAAUUUUGGAUGAGAGUUUAGAAUAUUUAUAAGUUGGUUCUGUUGUGGGAUCUCCAUAUAGCAAAUUUAUCCUAUUUUGUAUUUCAAAAAUUGAAGGUUAGAUUGUCUACUCUAGCUAUACAAUUCUUCCAUGUUUUUCAGAUCAUGGAAUGAGUUUCUCGUGCUGAGAUUGUAACCCAAUCAAUAAGUAGGUGAAACACAGAAGUUCUAUAUCACAUGUUAGUUUUGAUCCAUUUCUAAAAAUCCUAUGCAUGGUACAAGAAAAACAUUUCUUUGCUGCACAGAAGAGUGAAGUACUGAACAACAAUGUGAAAAGUUGGGACCUAGAAAACAAUAUAUUUUUAA